UGAAAAGUCCUGAUUUGACCUCUACCCCUGACCCGGAUGUAUAUAAUCCACGUUGGUGACACAUUUUGACAGCUAUCUCCAGAAAAUGCCGAACAUGCUAUGUUGAAACUUUCAUAUUUUGCUUCUCACAUGUUGGUCUUGGCCAGAUGAUCCUGAAGCUGAUUGUCUCCCCUGCCAUGUUGCGGAAUGAUGGAUCUAGCUACCCUCUUCUGUAGUCGGACUUUCGAGCGGACUUGGACCUUUUCUUAUGAUCUUUAUGCUGUGCUGCCAGUCUUGAUAGAGCUCUCUUCUUCACUUCAGGAGCUCCAAUACCAACAUCUGGUUAUCUGGCGUCAUCUGAAGAUGAUGUAUCUGGUUCGAACUGAGGAACAUUGAGCGCACCCACCAGUUGUCACCGUCAUCUCCAGAGCACACCUCGGAGUGCUGACUACACUUGGAACAGUCCCCUGAAUAGCACGACACGGUGGCAUCUAACACAUCAGGGUCCUGUGUGAAAAGUUCCGAUUUGACCUCUACCCCUGACCCGGAUGUAUAUAAUCCACGUUGGUGACACAUUUUGACAGCUAUCUCCAAAAAAUGCCGAACAUGCUAUGUUGAAACUUUUAUAUUUUGCUUCUCACAUGUUGGUCUUGGCCAGGUGAGUUGGA
Molecule: long non-coding RNA, 647 nt
Organism: Pecten maximus
Lineage: Eukaryota; Metazoa; Mollusca; Bivalvia; Pectinida; Pectinidae
Exons: 4
Source: RefSeq, a predicted model, not a curated record